RNAcentral lists this ribosomal RNA (492 nucleotides) under uncultured bacterium. Its description in RNAcentral is "partial 16S ribosomal RNA". It matches the Rfam family "Bacterial small subunit ribosomal RNA", at positions 29 to 507 of the family's 1533-position model. The record is from RNAcentral.
AGUGAACGCUGGCGGUAGGCCUAACACAUGCAAGUCGAACGGCAGCACAGUAAGAGCUUGCUCUUACGGGUGGCGAGUGGCGGACGGGUGAGGAAUACAUCGGAAUCUACUUUUUCGUGGGGGAUAACGUAGGGAAACUUACGCUAAUACCGCAUACGACCUACGGGUGAAAGCAGUGGAUCUUCGGACCUUGCGCGAUUGAAUGAGCCGAUGCCGGAUUAGCUAGUUGGCGGGGUAAAGGCCCACCAAGGCGACGAUCCGUAGCUGGUCUGAGAGGAUGAUCGGCCACACUGGAACUGAGACACGGUCCAGACUCCUACGGGAGGCAGCAGUGGGGAAUAUUGGGCAAUGGGCGCAAGCCUGAUCCAGCCAUACCGCGUGGGUGAAGAAGGCCUUCGGGUUGUAAAGCCCUUUUGUUGGGGAAGAAAAGCAGCAGGUUAAUACCCCGCUGUUCUGACGGUACCCAAAGAAUAAGCACCGGCUAACUUCGUG